GACGAACCGUGCGAACGUUGUUCGGGAUCACUGGGCUUAAAGGGCGCGUAGGCGGGCAUUCAAGUCAAGGGUGAAAUCCCCCAGCUUAACUGGGGAACUGCCUUUGAUACUGGGUGCCUCGAGUAAGGUAGGGGCAUGCGGAACUGAUGGUGGAGCGGUGAAAUGUGUUGAUAUCAUCAGGAACUCCGGUGGCGAAGGCGGCAUGCUGGACCUUCACUGACGCUGAGGCGCGAAAGCUAGGGGAGCGAACGGG
RNAcentral lists this ribosomal RNA (253 nucleotides) under uncultured bacterium. RNAcentral's name for it is "partial 16S ribosomal RNA". It matches the Rfam family "Bacterial small subunit ribosomal RNA", at positions 524 to 776 of the family's 1533-position model. The record is from RNAcentral.